RNAcentral lists this unclassified non-coding RNA (200 nucleotides) under uncultured fungus. RNAcentral describes it as "partial contains 18S rRNA, ITS1, 5.8S rRNA, ITS2 and 28S rRNA". The record is from RNAcentral. Lineage: Eukaryota; Fungi.
AAGGAUCAUUACUGAGAACUUGCCCUUCGGGGUAGAUCUCCCACCCAAUGUUUACAUUACUUUGUUGCUUUGGCAGGCCCGUCUUUGGACCACCGGCUUCGGCUGGUCAGUGCCUGCCAGAGGACCCCAAACUCUGAAUAUUUAUUGUCUGAGUAUUAUAUAAUAAGUUAAAACUUUCAACAACGGAUCUCUUGGUUCUG